GUGCUACAUUCUCCAACCUGCAGAGUGCAGACACAUACUUCUUCCAGUUCUUUCACCUUCUCCAUCAAUUCCUUCUAACAUUUCUUUUCACUUUUGCUGUUGCUCUUUCCUAUCACUCUUUCUCACCCCGUUUUGCUUAGAUUCUCUCUUGGAUUUUUCUGAUUUUCAAUCAGUGUUGCUCUCAAGGUGGUUUAACACGUACCAACUGAUUCAGGUGUGUCCUUUCACUCUUAUCACUGCUGUUGCAAACUCACAUCUGAAAAAAGAAUAGGUUUCUUGCCACUAACAAUUAGCAAGAAAAAAAAGAUUUUUAAUACAGAAGUGGGCUAAGAUGGAGUAGAAGCAUGCAAGUGAUGGCAACUUGACAAUAAUUAUCACUUCAAAGAGAUGGUACAAGUCACUAAACAAGAAACACUUAGAGAGGCUCAGAUAAAAACUUGGUAGUAAGGUGGAAGGACAUAGCCUUGAAAAUGGUUUUAACUGAAGUUUUCUUUCUGGAAUUUGUUUUGUGUGAGUAGUGAAGCAACAUCUUCAGAUCUUAACUACCAAAGACCACCUAUGAUGUGGUUAGUGUCCUAGACAUUGAGUGAACUUUGCACACCUUUUUAAAACUACCUUUUAGUGGAUUUUAAGUGUUUAUAAACACAGUGUGCUGAAACAGCAAAGUUAAAUUCUCUGUUUCUUGCCUCCGGAUAUUAGCAUGGAUCUAUAAUGUAAUUUUCGAAGUGGUGUUGCUUUAUCAAGGAUAUCCUGUUCCGCACCA
Molecule: long non-coding RNA, 763 nt
Organism: Capsicum annuum
Lineage: Eukaryota; Viridiplantae; Streptophyta; Magnoliopsida; Solanales; Solanaceae
Exons: 3
Source: RefSeq, a predicted model, not a curated record